Molecule: long non-coding RNA, 1379 nt
Organism: Pseudopipra pipra
Lineage: Eukaryota; Metazoa; Chordata; Aves; Passeriformes; Pipridae
Exons: 4
Source: RefSeq, a predicted model, not a curated record
CCACUGUAACACAAAGCACAGAAACUGUCUGCUUUAGGCGACAACAGCGGAUCUACUCAGUGUCCUUCUCACAGCCAAGCAGGAGGAGAGUUCAUGGAGAGGAAUUCAGGGCAGAAAACAAAGUGAACCAUUGGAAACUGCUUUCAGACUGCAGAUUCCAACCAGAUUUGUGUCAUGACUUCAGCCAGGGCAUUCUUUACCCACGUGGGACAAUGUCAGGAGCCUCAGUGACAUUGAGGCAGGGUCGGGAAUGUUCCUGGUGAUAAGCAGACACAUGAGAAUGCUCUGAGGAGAGGGGUGCAAGGCAGUGCAGAUUUACAACACUGAGACCCUUCAGAGCAGCACUAAUGCCCAGUGGAGUUCUCCAGCCUAAAUGUCUCGUUGUCAGUGGAAGAAACAAAGGUAAUGUAAUUUGAAUGCUGGAUGCAACAGCGUAGGCUGCUCUCCAGGCUGAUUCUCCCUGCUCCAAAUGGGAAGGAUGGCUCCAAACAGACUCACCAGCACAGACUGAAGAGCAGACAUCUGAUCUGGGAGGAAAUGGCCAAUAUCUCAGCUUUUUUCCCCACGAUUUGUUUCUUCCUGGAAAGGGAAAAAAAAAAAAAAGCCACAAAACAGUUGCAUGAAGACGCCGCUGUUUCAAAGCAAAAUUUUAAAACGUCUCUGAUUUGCAAAUGGCAUUUCAGCAUUUUCAUGAGAAUAAAAUGCUACUGUGAUGCUGGGUUUAAAUAUUUCAUUCCAGCUCCCUGAACCAACUUAAAAUCUUAUUAUAAGUCAUUUUGACAUGAAAGUGUGUUUCUCUGUGGUGCCCGUGGCUGAGACAUCUCCAGCUCGGAGUGCAGCUGCAGGAGCCCUCCCUGCUCAGGGCUGAUCAAAGGCAAACCACCCGUGAGCCACUGCUCGGCCCCACCACCCAGCCCAGGGAAAAAACGGGAUCCUGAACAUCCCAAGGGCUGAUGCCAUCGAUGGAAAACACAUAUUCCUGUCGUAACCCUGCUGGGAGAAGGUUGGGUGAGUUUAGCAAACAAAACCGCAGCGGCUUAAAACAUGGAAUUGCAACAGUGCCACAGAGACAAGCUCGAGACAUUUGUUAAGAAGGAUAUCAGGAAUAAAUCCCUGUGUUACUCUUUCCAGCACCGGGGUUAGUUCAUGACUCUUUCAUGUGAGCUCUCUCUCUUUUAUGUCAUGUAGUCUGGAGGGAGGAAAGUGGCACUGACCCAAAAUGAAUCCUUCCUGUCCUGGGCUCCUCCUGCUCUUCCUUGCUCCCUGGAAAAGUCCUUGUCCUCUCUGAGUGGUUUUUCUGAAAAUAAGACCAAGCAAGGCAGGGAUGACCACACUUUUUUCCUCUUCCUUUCUCUUUAAGAUCCAUGGGUUAUCAUUUU